AACGAACGCUGGCGGCGUGCCUAACACAUGCAAGUCGUGCGAGAAAAGGGGGGCAACCCCCUGAGUAAAGCGGCGCACGGGUGAGUAACACGUAGGUAAUCUACCCUCGAGUCCAGGAUAACCCGCCGAAAGGUGAGCUAAUACCGGAUAUGACCACGGGAGUUUCGGCUCCUGCGGUGAAAGGUGGCCUCUGCUUGCAA
This 200-nucleotide ribosomal RNA is filed under the name uncultured bacterium. RNAcentral describes it as "partial 16S ribosomal RNA". It matches the Rfam family "Bacterial small subunit ribosomal RNA", at positions 29 to 214 of the family's 1533-position model. The record is from RNAcentral.